This 462-nucleotide ribosomal RNA is filed under the name uncultured bacterium. Its description in RNAcentral is "partial 16S ribosomal RNA". It matches the Rfam family "Bacterial small subunit ribosomal RNA", at positions 28 to 507 of the family's 1533-position model. The record is from RNAcentral.
GAUGAACGCUGACAGAAUGCUUAACACAUGCAAGUCUUUGGCGAAGCUGUGCUUGCACAGCCUAGCCAAGGCGGACGGGUGAGUAACGCGUAAGGAACUUGCCCUGCAGUCAGGGAUAACAGACGGAAACGACUGAUAAGACCUGGUAAAGUCAGGCGGACUCAUGUCCAGCCUGAUGAAAAGAGAUGCUGCAGGAGAGCCUUGCGUCCUAUUAGCUUGUUGGUGGGGUAACGGCCCACCAAGGCGAUGAUAGGUAGCCGGCCUGAGAGGGUGGACGGCCACAAGGGGACUGAGAUACGGCCCUUACUCCUACGGGAGGCAGCAGUGGGGAAUAUUGGACAAUGGGGGCAACCCUGAUCCAGCAAUGCUGUGGGCACGAUGAAGGUUUUCGGAUUGUAAAGUGCUUUCAGCAGGGAAGAAAAAAUGACGGUACCUGCAGAAGAAGCGACGGCUAAAUACGUG